AGGGAGGUAUGCAAGAAGCCAGAAAACCUUGAGUGGAGUGGGAUGGACCAGAGCACCAAAUGUAAAAGGGCCUGCUGGCUGGCUUGAAGUAAGAGAGGGCAUAAUCUUCGAAGACCCUGACAGUCAAGAAAUUUCUUAUAAAAUCCCCUGAGAAAGGGCCUCUUUUCUGGAUGUCUGAUGGUGAGCCAUAACUCAGAAAGAAUUAUCUUAGAGAAACACCAGCCCUAUAUACCAGUGCUUCCAAGUAUUAUUACCGGUAAGAAUUACUAAUACUUCUAAACAUUAACAAUGCGUCUGAGAAGUAUAAAUCU
This is a long non-coding RNA of Pan paniscus (pygmy chimpanzee), 311 nucleotides long. NCBI's taxonomy places the organism in Eukaryota, Metazoa, Chordata, Mammalia, Primates, Hominidae. The record is from Ensembl.